RNAcentral lists this ribosomal RNA (451 nucleotides) under uncultured bacterium. RNAcentral describes it as "partial 16S ribosomal RNA". It matches the Rfam family "Bacterial small subunit ribosomal RNA", at positions 28 to 507 of the family's 1533-position model. The record is from RNAcentral.
AGCGAACGCCGGCGGCAUGCCUAACACAUGCAAGUCGCACGGGGGGGCUUCGGCCUCCCAGUGGCGGACGGGUGAGGAACGCGUAGGGACCUGUCGAGGGGUGGGGGAUAACCGCGGGAAACUGCGGCUAAUACCGCAUGACGCCGCGGCGUGACAGCCGGGGCCAAAGGCGAAAGCCGCCCGCCGAGGGGCCUGCGUCCGAUUAGCUGGUUGGCGGGGUAGCGGCCCACCAAGGCGUCGAUCGGUAGCUGGUCUGAGAGGGUGAUCAGCCACACCGGGACUGAGACACGGCCCGGACUCCUACGGGAGGCAGCAGUGGGGAAUAUUGGACAAUGGGCGCAAGCCUGAUCCAGCAAUGCCGCGUGGGUGAAGAAGGUCUUCGGAUUGUAAAGCCCUUUCGGCGGGGACGAUGGUGACGGUACCCGCAGAAGAAGCCCCGGCUAACUUCGUG